Molecule: long non-coding RNA, 2232 nt
Organism: Sardina pilchardus (European sardine)
Lineage: Eukaryota; Metazoa; Chordata; Actinopteri; Clupeiformes; Clupeidae
Exons: 5
Source: RefSeq, a predicted model, not a curated record
GUUAAUUCGUAAAGCCGUUUACUAAAGUAGCCGAGCGGUCGGUUUUGAGGGGGAUCGGUUUUUGUAAUUUCCCAGCCCAGUGACGGGUGAUGUUAUCUUAACUUGGUAAUUUCAGUGAGGCAUUUAAAUGAUUCAAAGGCUAUUUUCAAACAACAUUUAGGCUACAAACCAUCAGAACGGAACACAAUUUAGUUGAGCAGCCUGAUCUCACCAAUAAAGGAGUAAAAUGACACGCCGGUUUCUUAAAUUGGCGUGUUAUUUGACGCAUUUCAUGCUUUUGGCGUACAAUGUCACGCUCUUAAGCGCCCACAUAGCCUACUUCCAAUGUAUAGGGAAACAGCGUGUCUGUCCAUUUACGCCAGGCAAAAUGCUAGAACGUUUUAGGGAUUUUCAUGUGUCCAACGAAGCUUUCUCUCGAAACCUUUUAAUGUUAGUGAACGGUUGAAUGUCAGGGUGGGGUAAGCCCAUCGGACAUUUAUUUGCAUGUUUCAUUUAAUCAAUAAUAAACCUUUACUUGUGUAAUUCCUGUACACCUGUCAAUCUUGAUGUGCCAACAAUGACAUUUUGAUCGAUUGCACAUGUCUAGUGGCAAAAUUCGUCAUUCGCUCCAGCUGAUUGCUGUCAUGUGACACACGCAACCACAAGAAAACGGAAGCGAGACGAGCCAUGUGGGAUCCUUGCUCCUGAUAUCCUGAAGUAUGGCUUGCAUUUCAUUAUAUGACUCCAACAGUACACUCACAGAAAGGAGAGUGGUGUCAAACUACAAGACCGCCAGCAUGUAAACAAGGCCUUUGUUUGUCCUUGUUUGGCUACUCAUUUGUCUACUUCCUGAAGAGGCUGAAGCAUGCUGGCAUUGACACCUCAGUCCUUGCUUCCAUUAACAGUUGUGUUAUGGAGCAUAUCGUCAUAUCAUGGUCUACUGCAACGGCAAUUGGCAGGCAGUGUGCUGUGAGGACUGCUGCCCUGAUUCAUACAGAAGAAGUUCCAAGCCCGCAAUGGGCUCCAUCAACUGUCCAGGGUGAAGUCGGUCUGUACUGAUUGCACUACCUUCUACUUGAUGAUGUCUGGUAGCCGUGGCUACUGCCCUCAACCUGGUACACUUGACACUUGACAUUUACUGCCAAAAGGUACCAUCAGAGCACCUCUCUGCAGGACAUCUAUACCAGAAGAGUACAGAGGCCCAAAAUAUUUCAAAAGACAUUUCACACCCUGACCAUGGACUGUUUAAACCACUGAGGUCAAGCAGACGUCUCUGUUCCCACAUGGCUAGAACAGACUGAGAAGGAGUUUCUUUCCUGAAGCCAUCUGCAUCCCGAUCACACAUAACUCUUUAAACUACAUUAUAUAGACUUGCCAUACUGCACUUACACACACUGCUCUGUUUACCACCUGAAAAGAUUGUUGGUGCAAUGUCUCAGGUUUUGUUCAAAUCAUGUCUACUGUAUAUCAAGGAUGGUUCCCAAAAUCAACGCCUGUUCGCCAGGCUCAUUUUCUGCAAGGCCCUUGAUUUGGGGAAAAGUGUGAAAACCAGUGACAUUAAGGGUAUGAACUUCUUUUUGUACACAUUUACAUACUAUGGGUUAUUAAUGUUGUGCCAAUAUUUUAGCUCUCCAUAUAUAAUGUUGACACAAAAAUAUGUUUACAAGGCCCAUAGUAUCACCAGUUUUGCACCGUGUUCCUUAUCUAGGGCCUCAUAUAAAAUUAAUGGGUAUGCACUACAAACAACGGUCCAGUCAUACUGAGAACAUGUCUGUCUUUCAUCUUCCACCAAGUUUGGACAAGCUAGGAACAAUAUUUUUUAAAUAUAUCAAUGCCUAAAGAUGGCCUCCAAGAUAAGGAAUUUCUGAGAGUGAAAAUGAUACAAAAUCAAGGGUUAAAAGGGGUAUGGAAUUAUAAAAUUGAGCAAAAAUAUUUUACAGGUCUUGGUUUUGGGACUUAAAGGUAGUCAAGAGCAAAAUCUGAGACGGUGCAGCAACUGUUUUCCUGGAUUUUAUCUGACUUCAAACAGAAUGACCACCCUUCCCUAUCGUUAAAUUACAUGUAUUUCUAAAUCCUUCUUUCUUUAUCCUGUACACCUCUGCACAGGCAAGUUGAGAAGCUGAAUGCCAGUUCUCUAUGUAUUUUACAAUGAUAUCUCUGUAUCUGACAAUUCCUUGAAUCCUUGACAGAAGGCUCAAUUUUGUAUUGUGAUAUUUUGUGAUGUCUACAGAAAUAAAAAAUACUUGUUACCGA